Helianthus annuus (common sunflower) is the source of this 1852-nucleotide long non-coding RNA. RefSeq lists it as uncharacterized. The transcript has 4 exons. Lineage: Eukaryota; Viridiplantae; Streptophyta; Magnoliopsida; Asterales; Asteraceae. The record is from RefSeq and is a predicted model, not a curated record.
UUUAUUAUUAAUAUCUAUUAAUUAAAGGGUGGAAAUGAACAGUAGAUUUUGGGUAAUUCACCUACCUCCUUAUCUUUCUCCUUUCAUCUGCCCGCCACGUUGUAAAAAGGUUAACACCUGUUUUGUGGAUUAAGCUUAUUAUAAGGCAAUGAGAGAGAGGUAUGGAUUGAUGAUGGAGCGGUUAACUGUGAAGACGGAGGAGCACCACCGCUGUUGAAGACCAUCUCAUCUGAUCGGCUAUUCCGACCUCGAUCUUUCCCUCUCCGAUUUUGGUUUUCUCGGCUAAGCGCCUAUUGCGUGGAGGGUCGUCGUUGCCAGCGGCCAUUUAAGGCCGUUUCUGGCCGGCGGCGGUUAUUCCGAGAAAGCCCGUUGUUGCCGGUGGCUAUUUGAGGCUGUUUCUGGCGGCAGCGGAUAUUUCGGGGAGGCCCGUUGUUGUCGGCGGCCGGUUUGAGUCUGUUUCUGGCGGAGUCGGCCUUCAGAUUUCUCGAAGAGUCUAAAUAGUUUCAGAUGUAAAACCCUAGGCCUGUAUGAAUUUCUGGUGGGUGGAGUUUGAUUAUUAGGUUUGUUAUGAAAUAUGAAAUCUGGUGAUCAAAAAGUUCUAAAGGUGGAAUCUUUGCAUGUUAUGAACACUGGAAGAUCAAGAACAAGAACAUGAAAAAAGGUUGAGAGGUUUCGGUUUUUCUCCUACCCGACGAUGAUGGUGGCUUGCUACUUGGUAUGGCAACUCCGGUUGCAACCGUAGCACCACCGGCGGGUUUAACGACGAUGAUGAUCUUUUCAGAUAUGAGUCGAUUGGUGUUGAUGAUUUCGUUUUUUGUAUGUUUUUUUCCUGAGAUUGCUGAAAUAAGGAGUCAUUUGUUGACAUGGAAGGAGUUGUUAUGGUUUCUCUUGAGGCUAUUAAAGGCGCCCCAGCAGGUAAAUUCCAUUUGAGCUUGAUGUUUGAUAUGAAUGUUAUGGUUUUUGUUUUGUAGGUACUCUGUGUGGUGAUUUUGUUGUUUUGAAUUAAGGUUUGUAGAUUAGCUCGACAGUUUGCAAAGUCUGAGAUUAUCAUGGCUUUUUUGUUGAUUUUGUAGAUGUUGUAGAUGCUAAUUUGAUGUCUAUCUUGGACAUGAUUACUGGGAUACAAUUGAAUUAUGAGAUUAUUCAUGUUUUGUCAUCAGAUUACCUGAACGUUUGUCUUAUACAUAUAUAGGUUGUGGAACGCCUUUUAUAUUAGCCAUAGAACUACGGCUUCUGCCAUGUGACAUGUAUGACGAAAGUUGAAAUUAAAUCAUUAAACCUUUGUGCAUGUUUGAAUACUGGUAUAACAUCUGGAAUAUUCAGGUAAACAUUUUUAAAAACUAUUUACUUGCAACAAUCUUUUUGCAGUUACUCCUAAAUCAAGAACUUGUCUGGCAUUGGAUAGAAGGAAGGAAUUAAUGCUGGAUUAGUUGAUCUCACAACAUUGCAAAACUUGUUAAAUUCAAGUAGUGACGAAGAUUCACCAUGAGGCUGCAACUGUGCUUCCUAUAUAUGUUGAGGAUCCUGCCAGAAGUGAAGUUGAAAUUGAGAUGGCUUUGGAGGCCGGAGAACAACGUCCUCGGGUGAUGAUAGUGGCUUGCUACAUGACAAGGCAAUUCCGUGUGUUGCCGUAGCGGCACCGAGCCAAAGCCUUCUUUGUUUUGUGACAACAAUGAUGAUACUUUUAGAUCCGAGUCGAAUUGGUUUUGUUGUUUUCAUUUUUCCUUUUUUUUAUUAGGUUGAUGUACAAGUUGUAUUGAUGGUGAUAAUGUAACUGUUUGAUGAUCUUCGUGGCCGUAGUUGCCUUCGUAUUGACGGCGCAACAGUUGUUGCUGUGAUGAUUUGAUAUUAA